Molecule: ribosomal RNA, 495 nt
Filed under: uncultured bacterium
Lineage: Bacteria
Description: partial 16S ribosomal RNA
Rfam family: Bacterial small subunit ribosomal RNA
Source: RNAcentral
GAUGAACGCUGGCGGCGUGCUUAACACAUGCAAGUCGAGCGAAGCACUUAAGUUUGAUUCUUCGGAUGAGGACUUUUGUGACUGAGCGGCGGACGGGUGAGUAACGCGUGGGUAACCUGCCUCAUACAGGGGGAUAACAGUUAGAAAUGGCUGCUAAUACCGCAUAAGACCACAGUACUGCAUGGUACAGUGGUAAAAACUCCGGUGGUAUGAGAUGGACCCGCGUCUGAUUAGGUAGUUGGUGAGGUAACGGCCCACCAAGCCGACGAUCAGGAGCCGACCUGAGAGGGUGACCGGCCACAUUGGGACUGAGACACGGCCCAGACUCCUACGGGAGGCAGCAGUGGGGAAUAUUGCACAAUGGGCGAAAGCCUGAUGCAGCGACGCCGCGUGAAGGAUGAAGUAUUUCGGUAUGUAAACUUCUAUCAGCAGGGAAGAAAAUGACGGUACCUGACUAAGAAGCCCCGGCUAACUACGUGCCAGCCGCCGCCGUAA